GUUUCUGGGUCAGCUGACUAGAAGCUUUGAAUUAAAAAUGGAGAGAGAUAUUUGAUCUCUCUAAGGUGUUGACUUCACCCCUAAUGGAACUGGAUGACUUUGUCAUGUGUUACUUCUGAUGCUUAGUGUUUAGCGCUGCCAUCACACUCCCCCCAAAGACUAUGUGAACUACAAGAAACCCCUACUGUGACUGCUUUGUGCCACGUCGUGUUAGACACUGGUUAGGAUGAAACAAUGGAUCCAACACAAUCCAAACCUUAAGAAGUUCAAAAAUACUGGCAAGAGAGACACAUAUAUAUCUAUAAAUCAUUAUUCUACCGGUAUUACAUGUCUAAAAAGAAGGAUAUGAACAAAUACCAUGGGAGCCAUUAGCUUAUGGAUUGAUGUGAGGGAUCUGCCUAAUUGGGAAUUAACGAUUUGAAACAAUGUGAGAAAGUCAAACUGUCUAGUACUGAUGGUAUAUGCCUUGGUGGCAGCAAUUAGAAUGGGAAAAUGUCUAAGAAAGGAAUGCUGGCAUAGGAAACUGGUUGGGAUUUCCAAGGCUACACAAAGCUCUGUCUCUGCAUUCAGAAAUAUAGGUGUUGGAUAAAUCGUAUCCUAGAAAGGUUGAAGUGAGCCUCAUCCUAGAAAAUGUACAGAAGUUUAUCAGCUGGAAAUUUCCACUUGUUCCUAGGAGAGGCUGAGGUUUUAAGAGGGGCCAGUGUUGUUGUGGCUUUUUGGCUCUUGCCAGGGGUGCUGAGGUUCUAAUCCUGUCUCUGAGGGAGGAGUGGUUGGGCUUCCCAACUGGAUUUCACAAAUUCGGAAGAUAAGUGAAUUUUUCAUCUAAAUAAGACAGGGUGUAUUUGAGUGCCAAAUCUUCUUCCACUGGCUGAAUUUCUGUUUGUAUAAACAGGGCCUGAAUGCAAAGAUUCACCUCAAGGAAAUAAAAAUUAUGUAUGCUUUCCCUGUCCUCCCAUCCUCUCCUGAACUUAGGUAACUUCCAGAAUAUUCAUGUUUUGGGUAUUUGUAUAUGCUAUAGUUAUGGACUGAAUUUUGUCCUUUCAAAAUUCAUAAGUCAAAGCCUUAACCUCCAAUUGACUUGACCUAGAGAUAGGGCCCUUAAAGUGGUCAUAAAGGUUAAGUGAGGGAAUAAGGGUGAGGCUCCAAUCCAGUAUGACUGGUGUUCUUAAUAAAAGAGGAAAAAAACAACCAGAGAUGCAGCUACAUGGAAAAGAAACAUGUGCACAGCAAAAAGGUAGCCUUCUGCAAGGUAAGGAGAAAGGCUUUUGGGGAAACCAAAUGUUCUGACAUUUUGAUCUUGGACUUUCAGUCUCUAGAACUGCUGAGAAGUACAUUUCCAUGGUUUAAGCCAUUCAGUCUGUGGUAUUGUUAUGGCAGUUCUAAAAGACUAACAUGAUUAUUGACAAAUCCUCCUAGGGAUUUGAUUUGUGAGCCUGAGUCAAUGACAGUUUAAAUGGAACUCACAAUCUGGGCCAAAGCAGCAAUGAAAGUCCUUAAGAAAUGAUUCUCCUGUCCUUCUCAUUAAGCAGUGUUUAGCAUACCCAUAGUAUAAAGCUAGUCAUUUAUGCAGAGCAAAUUUUUCACUCAGACUUCUACUUAUUCAACAGAUAUUCAUUGAGUGCCUACUGUAUGCUGGUUGCUCAGAUGAUGAUCAGAAGGAGUUGCCAGUCUAGAAGAGAAACUGUAACAAGCAAAUAAAAUACUUUCAUUUGUGAAAUGCCAAGUGCAAGCCAAAGUAAAUGGAUUCAUUGCAACUAGAUAGCAGGGAAGAUUCCUGGUGGAGGUGACACUGAAAGAGGGCUUUGGAGGAUAGAUAGGAUAUGUCAUGCAAGGUUGGGCAAUGGCAGAAGGACAGUUGAAGAGUGGAAAGAAUAGUGAACAAAGGCUUAGAGGUAGAAACCCUGGGCAGUUUAUGGGGAGAUAUGCAUUUUGAUGCAGAGUAUGCAAAGGAAAAUUUCCCUUCAUGAGGCUGUGCUGUCUCAGACUCGGAGGGCUUCCUUCAUAAAGGAGUGGUGGUGCACCAGGCACUGUCCUUCACAGUUCAUUAUGCUAACUCAUCCACACUCAUAAUAAUAACCUUACAAGGUAGGUGCUAUGAUUAUGCCAGUUUAUAGAUGGGGAAACUGAGGCAUGGAUGAGUCCAAUUACUUGCCAAUCACUAGUAAAUGGUGGAGCUGGUGUUUGAACCUAGGCAUCCUGGCUCCAGAGUUCCUGCUGAUUAAAAGAGGGCUGAGCAUCUAAACCAAAGUAAGAGGGAGGAAAAUAUUGGAUGUCUAUAGAUCUGCAGAUGGGGCAAGAAACAGAGCUUUGAGAUAGUAGGCAACUUGUAUUUCCUUGAGUAAAGAGAAAGGCAGAGCUCCUGCCUCCAGUAACUGUGAGGGAGAUCGCAGUGCCCUUGGCCAUCUUCCUCCAAGUUAGCCACGUUUGCAGCCAUUCGUGGAGAUAAAUCCUCGGUACAGGGGAACAAAAGUGUUUUUCAGGCUGCUGUGGUUAGCCUAGGACAGGGUUAUGAAAGGAGCUUUUCUGCGUCUGCUGCCUUCCGGGGUUACAUUCUUAGUGAAUCUACUGCCUCAAAAUGGAGCUUGUUAGUUGCGUGUCAUCCAAGGGUGGCAAUUAGUUGCAUGUGUUUGGUUGGGUGCCAGCUCCCGGGGUGCCAGACCUCAGUGGGGGAGCCACUGUUUGUCAUGAAUUAGUCUUUAAAUAAAAGCAAGUUUUUAAAAUGGAGCAUGCUAAUUUGGGUUUUGCUAACCCCCUCUGAAGAAGGCUUGGCCUGUUCGGUGCCAGCUGGCUGAGUUGGCAUUCAGAGAGAAAUUAGGCCCCUACCAAAAAUCACAUUGCUCCUCUCUCCCCCUUUGAGAACAAAAUGGCAGUGAGGAGCUAGUUGGCCCUGAGAAACAAGGUGAAACAAGGGGCAGGGGCAACACAGUAAUCUAUGAUUAAAGGGAACUGAACUGCCUUGGUUAAACCUGCUUCUCUUGCCACCUUAAGAAGGAAAGUCCGCCCCUUUCUUUCCCCACUCACGCUGUCCUCAGCCACCCAUUCAGUAACUUUCCACAUAAAAGGCUUCCUCAUCCAAUUGCUUAUACACUGCACCUUUUAUACUCUUCCAAGUCAUACUUAAGGGAUUAUCACUGCAGCUUUUAACUUCCCCGAGAAAGAGCUGAAUGAGCGUGAAUGGGGCGGAAGAGUCUUCAGUGAGAAAGUGUCCCCCACCCCAAAAUGCUCACAAAACCCCUAAUCACGACGUAAGAAUGCCAUCCUGUUUUUGGCGGCGGCUGGCUACAAAUGCUCUAAUCAACAAUUACCGUACAUAUAGGCGAUAAUUACAGGAGUCCUAUUGCACACACAACUCAUGGUAAUAGAACGCGAGGCACUGCGGAGCCUUGGUUGCCUUACUAUGGCGCUUUUACACACGAAGAAUGAUCCCUCCGAUCAAGGUUUUGAUUCUUGGAACUCAGCACUUUGCCCAAUAAGUGCUAAUUGAAAGAUUUGUUUUCUUACACUUUCCAGGUGGAUAAUCUGAUCUUGAGAAGUGGCGACUGUCAUGCAAUCAACAGUAGAAAAUAGGAACUCUCUGCCUUUUUUUAAUUAUCUAUUUCGGUUUUGUUUUGCAAACAUCCCUUUGUCUGCAAAAAGGUUUGCUCAGUAUUGGAAGAGGAGUCUCGUACAAAGGCAAGACAGAAAAGGAAUUUAAAUAAGCUUUACAUUUGUUCUGAAGAUUCAGGAAAGAUGGAAGCUUUUCUCAAUAUGAAUGUAUUUGUGCAGCAGAUUGCUGAGAAAUAUGAGUCGUCCUGGUUACUAAUGUAGUGUACAUUAAAUUUCGUAGAGUGAGGUUUUUUUUUUUUUCAAAAAAUAAACCAUGUUUAUUUGAUGCCAAUGCCUCUGUUAUUGUGAAUGCAGCAUAUUAAGUUUACUAAUAAACUGACACCCCAUUCCUGAGAGAUACGGCCUGAAAGCCUUCCUGACAGGUCAGGAAUUUGUUUGUUUACAAACACUAAGGCAAAACUGACAAUGAGGACAUUUUGAAUGCUUGAGUACCAUAAAUAGUUUUAGGGGGGAAUCUCAUUUUUCAAGGCAAUGCAUUCUGCAGUUUCACUUGAUAUUUUGGGUCUCGGCAGGACAGUGUGUUUCUUUUAAGAAUAAGAGCCCAUAAUGAGCCCAUGGGCCUUUAAUUUAUGAUGUAUCUGACAGGAUUGCAGUGAAUCUGAUAGGGGAUGCAUAUGAUUAUGUCUGCAAACUGAAAAUAAACCAGCUAGUAUUUGUUCUGAAAACAUUCUGAGAGCACCCUCCUGUUAAUGGCCCAUGGCUUGAUCCAGCAUCUGGUAAACUAAUAUAUUGUCAUUUUUACCAUGAAAGUCAGCACAAAUCAUUAAUGACUCCAGCAGCCAUUUAUGUUCUUCUCUUGUCUAGAAUAUGCCAAUUACCAUGAAAUUAUUCCUAUUAGUAGCAUGAUUGAAUGAUAGUAACCUGACUGUAACUUGUUGGCAGAAAUUCUUUCAUAAUGACAAUAAUGGACUGUGCAUUUGAGUCUUUGCUGGGCUCUGUUGAAAAGGAAGUGUGGAUAUGAUAUGUUUCUAACCAUCAUGAACAAUACUUCUUAAUGACUGCGUGAAUUGAGGGAAAUGUGCUAUCUUGCAGAUUUGUUUCAAUGUGAGAACUUAUCAUUUUUGUUUAAUUUGUUGGGGGUAGGCAUCACUGUUUUCCUUUUAAAAUAAUGUUCAGGGACCACUUUGCAGUAUGCAUACAUUAUGAUCAAGACCAGUAUAUAGAACCUAGUAGAGUUUAUCAUUGUUUUCAUCAUAGACAAUACCUGAAUCUUUAAAUAUCUCACAUCUAACCAUCACUAAGAAUGAAUAUCACUGCCAGUGACUAAGAAAAGUACAGAGCACUUGAUACUGCCAUGAGAUUGACAAGUUAAUUAUCUUUUUUCUUUCACCUAAUCUUGAUCUAUAAGGCCUUAUGACCUGACUAACAAAAAUGCACGUAGUCCAAGGCAUGUAAUAAGAGGAGUGGUAAUAAGGGCUAUACUAUAGCUCCAUGAAAAUUCCUGGUGACACAAGAGAAGAACAGAUUAGCCAUUAGCCAUUUGGAUCAUUCUCCAAAGAUCUGAGGAAGUGAAUUAAUGUAUUAUGUACUUCUUGUGGCCCACCUCAUAUCGUUUUGUCUCACUUUUUACUCAGGCCACUCCUGUGGGAAUUAGCUUAGGGCAGGUGUGACCUGAAGCCUCUUGCCUAAGCUGCACUAGGUAUCCCCAUUUUCUGCCCUAGAGCAUCUCUGACGCUUUUUGUGAGCCUGGCAGCCUGGAAUUCCAAGUGAGUAAUCUCUGACUAGUGGGGCAUGGGAACUGGUGAAGAAAUACUGUCCUCUUCCAUACUUUGUUUCCACUUUUCAUAAACAUCUGAAGCACAGAAGGUUUCUUAGAGAGUUCCAGCCUGAAUGAGGCCCAGUUGCCCAGAGUGGUAAUCAACUUGAGACUAUCCCCCUUUAUUACAUUCCCUUCCACAUAGGAUGAUGUUGGAGCCCCACCAAGAUCCACUUUACUGAGUCAGCACACAAUAGCCCAGCAGCUUAGAGUGUUGGAUGCUAAAGUCUCACAGAUGAACCCUUCUCACGGGAAUUACCCUCCACUGAAAGGAGCCAUCUUCCCCAGAAAUACCCACAAAAUUCUUCAGUCUUGAUAAAGGGCAAUCCAUAGCAGUGACUAACUGAAACUGUCAAGGUGGGAUGAUCCUGUGGUGCCAUUCACACUCCAGAACUCUUUGUGAGAUCUGGCCAAGGCUAGACUUCAACUAAAGCCACAGAUUUUCCUAGCUUCUUCUCUGGCCCACCCCACUUCCUUGUUUCCUCAUAGUUUUUACCUGAGGACACUCCUUGAAUCAAUUACUUGCAUAAGAAUGCCCCUUUCAGGCUCUACUUCUAGGGAACCCAAUUUGAGAUACAUUUCUUCUAUCCCCUAAUCCUAUAAUCUAGGGUCCUUUCUCCAAAUAAACUACCUGCUUGUAAACCUUUGUUUUAGGCUCUGCGUUAUAGGGAGGGGUAUUGGAGCAGAGUAGGGAACCCAGGCUAUGACAGUGAAUGAUAUCAUUGUAUUUUGAGGCUUCACUCUGUGCUGCCCACUGGAUUAAGUGCACAUGGUCCCUGCUAAGUGCCCUAUUGAGGGAAUUUAGAUUUACAAAAAAUUAGGCACCGUAAUAUUAUACUAACACUUUAGUGAAUGAUUCAGACAAUAAGUGCAGAAGUUGAGAGACCUAUCAUGUGGGGCUAUAGAGGGUAGCAAAGGCUUGUUGGAAGAGGUAUUACUUGAAUCCAUUAGAGGAACAUUUGGAAGGCAGAGAGAGGAGGCAGAUGGAAAUUCAGCUUGGAGACAUCAUGAGUAAGGGCUCAAUUUUCAAGUAUGCUUGAAAAUUGUUAAUUCAAGGGACCCCGUCAUUGCCAUCCCUGCAGGAAUGUAGGCUUCAUGCCAAAGGUGUUGCGUAUGUCCAGAAUGUGCUUUUAUUUGUUUGUUCCAUAGAUACCUUUUCAAUAACUACCACUUCCAGGCAUUAUGGUGGGCCCUGGAAGUGAUAAAAUAGAAAUUGCCCCUGCUCUAAAAGAACUUGCAUAAGAAAGCAAAUGCACAAACAAACAGGUAAACACAUAUAAUUACAGUUUUUAUUCUAAGGCUUUGAAGGAAAUGGAUGGGGUGCAGUGAUAGAAAAUAAGGGUUAUGUAUGUUAGAUCAGGUGGAUCAGGAAAUAAUCUCUGAGAAGCUCUUUAAUCAGAGUGGUUUUUAAUGGAAGAAAGAAGUUCCCUGGUAGUCUAGUGAUUAGGAUUUGGUGCCUUCACCACUGUAGCCUGGGUUCAAUCCCUGAUGGGAACUGAGAUCCUAUAUCAAGCUGCUGUAUGCAGUG
Molecule: long non-coding RNA, 6890 nt
Filed under: Sus scrofa (pig)
Lineage: Eukaryota; Metazoa; Chordata; Mammalia; Artiodactyla; Suidae
Description: lncRNA (ENSSSCG00000061812.1)
Source: RNAcentral